Molecule: long non-coding RNA, 624 nt
Filed under: Pan troglodytes (chimpanzee)
Lineage: Eukaryota; Metazoa; Chordata; Mammalia; Primates; Hominidae
Description: long non-coding RNA NONPTRT014443
Source: RNAcentral
GAAAAAGCACUAAACCAGAUGUUGAGGUGACCGGGAUUCCUGGAAGACAUUCUUCUCUCCAACGAGACACAUGAUGCAUGAAGUAGGAGCCCCUGGCAAGGAGCCCAGGCCGCCAUGGCCUCACUUGCUUCUGCUUCCCGGCAUGGCCCCGAGGCUAGCUGCCUCUGUACCGCCUGAGCAUCGUCCCCUGGCGUGUCACCAGACUACCCACUACCUGUGCUUGCACCUGCAGGUGGGCAGUUCAGUCGUUGCAGGCUGAAGCUCCCUGUCACAGGAGUCCAUCAGCACUGGAGUUUACCAAAUGGCCCAGUCCAGGAAGCAUGCUCAUGGCAAUACCCGGAGUCUCCACUGCAAGACCAGAGUGAUGGAGGCAGCAGAGCUCCUCAGCAGGCCAGGAGUCUCCAGAGGCACUGCCGAAUGUCUAAGAAGCAACCUCAUUGUAUUCCCAAGAGCUGGGAAUCCAGGUCUCGCAGAUACGAUGAUACAAUCUAUAGCCAGGACAUCUCUUCAUGUGUAGGAUAAGCAACUAUCCCAGUCUUCCCAGGAUUGAGGGACUUCUCCAGAUGCUGCACUUCCGGUGCUAAAAAUUAGAAACUGAAAUGAAUUAGUCACCCAAGGAAUGCU